Molecule: ribosomal RNA, 1346 nt
Filed under: uncultured bacterium
Lineage: Bacteria
Description: bacterial SSU rRNA
Rfam family: Bacterial small subunit ribosomal RNA
Source: RNAcentral
GACGAACGCUGGCGGCGUGCUUAACACAUGCAAGUCGAACGGAAAGGCCCUGCUUUUGUGGGGUGCUCGAGUGGCGAACGGGUGAGUAACACGUGAGUAACCUGCCCUUGACUUUGGGAUAACUUCAGGAAACUGGGGCUAAUACCGGAUAGGAGCUCCUGCUGCAUGGUGGGGGUUGGAAAGUUUCGGCGGUUGGGGAUGGACUCGCGGCUUAUCAGCUUGUUGGUGGGGUAGUGGCUUACCAAGGCUUUGACGGGUAGCCGGCCUGAGAGGGUGACCGGCCACAUUGGGACUGAGAUACGGCCCAGACUCCUACGGGAGGCAGCAGUGGGGAAUAUUGCACAAUGGGCGGAAGCCUGAUGCAGCAACGCCGCGUGCGGGAUGACGGCCUUCGGGUUGUAAACCGCUUUCGCCUGUGACGAAGCGUGAGUGACGGUAAUGGGUAAAGAAGCACCGGCUAACUACGUGCCAGCAGCCGCGGUGAUACGUAGGGUGCGAGCGUUGUCCGGAUUUAUUGGGCGUAAAGGGCUCGUAGGUGGUUGAUCGCGUCGGAAGUGUAAUCUUGGGGCUUAACCCUGAGCGUGCUUUCGAUACGGGUUGACUUGAGGAAGGUGGGGGAGAAUGGAAUUCCUGGUGGAGCGGUGGAAUGCGCAGAUAUCAGGAGGAACACCAGUGGCGAAGGCGGUUCUCUGGGCCUUUCCUGACGCUGAGGAGCGAAAGCGUGGGGAGCGAACAGGCUUAGAUACCCUGGUAGUCCACGCUGUAAACGGUGGGUACUAGGUGUGGGGUCCAUUUCACGGGUUCCGUGCCGUAGCUAACGCUUUAAGUACCCCGCCUGGGGAGUACGGCCGCAAGGCUAAAACUCAAAGGAAUUGACGGGGCCCCGCACAAGCGGCGGAGCAUGCGGAUUAAUUCGAUGCAACGCGUAGAACCUUACCUGGGUUUGACAUGGAUCGGGAGCGCUCAGAGAUGGGUGUGCCUCUUUUGGGGUCGGUUCACAGGUGGUGCAUGGCUGUCGUCAGCUCGUGUCGUGAGAUGUUGGGUUAAGUCCCGCAACGAGCGCAACCCUUGUUCACUGUUGCCAGCACGUUAUGGUGGGGACUCAGUGGAGACCGCCGGGGUCAACUCGGAGGAAGGUGGGGAUGACGUCAAGUCAUCAUGCCCCUUAUGUCCAGGGCUUCACGCAUGCUACAAUGGCUGGUACAGAGAGUGGCGAGCCUGUGAGGGUGAGCGAAUCUCGGAAAGCCGGUCUCAGUUCGGAUUGGGGUCUGCAACUCGACCUCAUGAAGUCGGAGUCGCUAGUAAUCGCAGAUCAGCAACGCUGCGGUGAAUACGUUCCCGGGGCU